AGACGUCUACAUUAGAUACCCGGGUAGUCCCAGCCGUAAACUAUGCGCGUUAGGUGUAUCGGUGACCACAAGUCACCGAGGUGCCGAAGGGAAACCGUGAAACGUGCCGCCUGGGAAGUACGGUCGCAAGGCUGAAACUUAAAGGAAUUGGCGGGGAGCACCACAACGGGUGGAGCCUGCGGUUUAAUUGGACUCAACGCCGGGAAGCUCACCGGAUAAGACAGCGGAAUGAUUGCCGGGCUGAAGACUCUGCAUGACUAGCUG
Molecule: ribosomal RNA, 264 nt
Filed under: uncultured archaeon
Lineage: Archaea
Description: partial 16S ribosomal RNA
Rfam family: Archaeal small subunit ribosomal RNA
Source: RNAcentral